CUGCUGAAUCUAGAUGUUGAGAGUUUAGACUGUGCUUUUCUUUUCUUUUCUUUUCUUUUCUUUUCUUUUCUUUUCUUUUCUUUUGGUAACUAACUCUGACCUUUUGCCUAACUCUUAUAAUCACUUAAAAUUUAUCUUUUGUAGUCACUAAACUUGUUUUACUGUUUAUCUUUGCCAGUGAGAUCGCCUGAAGUGUGUGGUAAAUCUGCUCAAGUUUACAAAGACUGGUGUACAUCCACUUUCCAUUAAUGAAGUGGUUAACCAACUAAUAAACUUGUAUUGCUCAAGAAAGGGUCUUGAACAGUGCAAGACGGUAUAUUCCUGAUGUACUAGGCUGGGAGCUGGGGAGAUUUGCUCUCAAUGUCAUGGCUAGACUGAAGUCUAGAGAAGACCUCCGAGAUAAUGGACUAUAACUGGUAUGGGUCCUAAUGGCAAGUGUAAUGAAGAUGUGGGGUUAAGGUGACUAGAAGACAAGUCUGUGACAACAUUCCAUGAUCCAUGUAGAACCAAUGCCUGCUUUUCCAAAGUCUUUGAAACUCAUCAGAAAAUUGGAGCUACACUGUAGACCAUCCUAGCACAAGGCAGAGGCACAAAAGCAAGAAGACUCCAAGACUUCACAGGUACCAUUGUAGGGCAUGGUCUCGCAGCUGCUAUUGGCUCUCACAGGGAUGAAGCAGAGAUGGAUGGAUAGAUAGAUAUAGCUGCAUUACACUCAUUUCCCAGAAACACCCCUCCCCCUGCCCGCUCUGAAGAUGAAAACAUAAAAGAAUGUGAAGGUGAAACUUAAAAUGUAUAUGAAUGUUCCUUUCAUCUAAGAGAGGACAACUAACGAACCAGCUGGAACACAGUAUUUUCUUUGCAGGUGUUCCAUCAGCUUUAUAAUGACACAUCUUGGAAUAGGAGAGUCACAGUGGACUCUCUUGCUUAACUGUCGUCAUCACUUACCAUUUGCAGAAUGGAAGGUUUUCUGAUCCUGUGUCCAUGUGCAUGACUCACCAUUAUUCCCUGUAAGCGAGGAAGAGUAUCUCUUAAACAGCAUAGUCUCAUCAUCAAAACCCUGUGCACUAUGUGGCAUGUAAGACCCAAAUGAAGUGGCAAGCUCUGCACCACCACCCUGCUUCCAUUUUAGGGCCAGAGCUGCACAGAAUAUUGCUACUAUGGCAAAUUAAAGAAUUAUGCAGCCAAGUUAAUUGGUUAUGAAAUCACCCAAUAACCAUCAGUUUUGGUGAAAUCACAAAGUGAAAAUCUAGAAUGAAUGUAUUAUAUUUACUUGCAUCCUAGCUGAGGAAUAACACUCCUGUGCAUCUCAGGUGCGGCGCAAGAAAGGAGGCAUUUUGGUUUGUAUGGGCCAGCUGGUGAUAGGCAAGGAGGAUUAGAAGUGGAGGUGGCUAAAUUUCAGAACUCCCAUGCUGCAUAUUCCUGUGGCAUUUUGGACCUGUGCAAUGACUGUUGCUUUUCCGUGCUGCAGAGUUUAUAAAUUGUGCUUGAGUGGUAUUUUGCACCAGUAGGGCUUAGGAAGACACUGAGAGCAGCCCUUCACCCUCACAAAAGUGACUCUGCCUUCCUAUCUCCAGGAGAUCGAAGGACAAGUUCCUCUUGUCUCUGCUGCUGUCCUGAACUUCAGAUCUCCUUCUUGCUGUUUCCCCUCUGUCCUUUUAGGGGCAGCAGCAUAGGAACAGGCUCAAGAAACCCCCAUGGAACUUUCCCUGUUGGAGGAAAACACAGAAAAAGGAGGAGGAAGGCAAAAUUGUUGGUGGCUAAUAGCUCCUUAAAUCAAGACACUACGACUUGAUACUGAGAUACAUAAAUCUAGGCUUUAUUGAUCGGGUUGCACUAUAUGAGUAGCCACCCAGCAUUCCUGAAGCCCUAUCCCAGUAUUCACUGGGACGGAUUACCUGGUGACGGUCUCCUUUUAAUUGGUUCCAAAAUGCUGAUGAGGAAUGUGAAGGGAUCCUGUUAGGGACUCAGAAUAUUUGGGUUCUAUUCACAACUGUGCCACAGACUUCUUGUUGUAACCUUGGUCAAGUCUCUUAAAUUCUCUACCUCGGUUUCUCAAUUGUAAAUUGAUGAUGAUAAUACUUUCCCACUCUUGCCCAUGUUCUAAUUCCAGAACAAUGGGUCAUAAAUGGAAGAAUCAGUUUAGGGAACCUUCAGGUAGCUUUGUGUUAUUCACAGGGAUGAAUUGCCAAAGGCAGAAAGAAAGACAAGACAUGCAAAUUAGUUUGAGGGAGAUGCACAAAUGUUUGUCUAACUUGCUCUUAAAAAUCUCCAAUGACUGAGAUUCCACAACCUCCCUAGGCAAUAUAUUCAAUCCUGACAGUUAGAAAGUUUUCCCUAACGUCCAUC
Molecule: long non-coding RNA, 2346 nt
Organism: Dermochelys coriacea (leatherback sea turtle)
Lineage: Eukaryota; Metazoa; Chordata; Testudines; Dermochelyidae
Exons: 4
Source: RefSeq, a predicted model, not a curated record